This 985-nucleotide ribosomal RNA is filed under the name uncultured organism. Its description in RNAcentral is "bacterial SSU rRNA". It matches the Rfam family "Bacterial small subunit ribosomal RNA", at positions 200 to 1188 of the family's 1533-position model. The record is from RNAcentral.
GUGAAAAGGUUUUUGCUCGCAGAGGAGCUCGCGUCCGAUUAGUUAGUUGGUGGGGUAAGAGCCUACCAAGGCAGCGAUCGGUAGCUGGUCUGAGAGGAUGAUGCAACCACACUGGGACUGAGACACGGCCCAAACUCCUACGGGAGGGAGCAGUGGGGAAUUUUCCGCAAUGGGCGCAAGCCUGACGGAACAACUCCGCGUGUGGGAAGAAGGCUCUUGGGCUGUCAACCACUUUUCUCAGGGAAGAAGAUCCUGACGGUACCUGAAGAAUCAGCCUCGGCUAACUCCGUGCCAGCAGCCGCGGUAAUACGGAGGAGGCAAGCGUUAUCCGGAAUUAUUGGGCGUAAAGCCUCCGCAGGGGGUACUUCAAGUCUGCUGUCAAAGGUCGGAGCUUAACUCCGGUUCGGCAGUGGAAACUGGAGCUCUAGAGGGCGACAGGGGUAGAGGGAAUUCCCAGUGUCGCGGAGAAAUGCGUAGUGAUUGGGAAGAACAUCGCUGGCGAAAGCGCUCUUGUUGGUCGCACCUUACCCUCAGGGAAGAAAUCUAAGGUAGUGAAAGGGAUUAGAUACCCCAGUAGUGUUAGCCGUACACGAUGGAUCCUAGGCGUGGUGUGUAUCGUCCCAAGCCGUGGCGAAGCUAACGCAUUAUUGUAUCCCUGCUGGGUGAGUAUAGCACGUCAUAGUGUGAUAAUCUCAAGUGGAAUUUAUCGGGGGCUCCGUCACUAUGCGGUCGGAGGUAUGUGGUUUAUUUCUAUGUAACGCGAAGAACCUUCCCAGGGCUUGUCAUCCCGCGAAUCUUGCUGAAAGGCGAGAGUUCCUUCCGGAGCGCGGAGACAGGUGGUGCAUGGCUGUCGUCAGCUCGUGUCGUGAGAUGUUGGGGUAAGUCCCGCAACGAGCGCAACCCUCGUCCUUAGUUGCCAGCAUUAAUUUGGGCACUAUAGGGAGACCACCGGUGACAAACCGGAGGAAAGUGAGGAUGACGUCAA